UUCUCUCAUCGAUGUUUCUAACUCUCUAUCCCUCUCCCUUCCUCUCUGUAAAAAAUAAAUAAAAAAUAUAUUUUUAAAAAUCUAUGAACAGGUGACCUGGCUUCGUAGAUAUAACCAAGAAACAGAGUCCAUGGUCAUCUGGAAUGUGAUUUAAAAGGCUCUCCCUUCUUUCACCUGCUCUGUCCACUCCUUGGCCCAUUAAUAACUAUUCUCCUCUUAUUAUUUGUAACAUGCCUCCUUAAUCUGCUCAGUAAAUUUAUAUGUUCUAGGUGACGACAGUGUCAUGUAAAGAUGAUGACACUGCAAGGAUUCCAGCCCAGACCUCGACAUCCAGGGGAUAUGGAGCUCGGACCCUUAGUUCAGGCAUAAAGAGAUUUUGAUCCCAGGCUAGGCAGGGAUCGUCCAGUCUCAGCCUGAAGCAACUACAGACUGACCAGCAACCCUCAUCUUCCCAAAUGACUGUGGGAUUGAAAUCUCACAAGGGGGUUUAUGAAGCAGGAAAGUUAGGAAGGGAGUAAAGGCCUCAAUCUCUACCCCUCCCCUUUUCCAUCCUUGCUGGACAUCGCAGACCUGACUUACUGACCACCUGUUCCCUGCUCCUUCUCCCCAAUUUCCUGUAGUUGAGACAAAAACCAGUCUCCAUCAGAUUUGGCAGCCAUAUUGACCUAAGUGUGUAACAGGGCCUUAUAUCUUUAUAAUACAUUUGUGUGCAAUUUCAGAACACACCCGCCUGCCCCCAAUCACCAUGGCAAUUCCGGGAGGACCAAACAGAAAUCACUAUCUGGAGAAGAGGGUUCAAGUUGGCAGUCACCCCACCAGCAUCAGAAGCGAAGGACCACACUAUCCUCCUUCCCCUUUGCCUACAUUUAAUAAAAGCCUUCCGCCCAGCCCAGCCAGUGUUGCUCAGUGGGUCAAAUCAAUUAAGAAGAUGUUCUGUGUACACUGAAAAGGAAAAUCCCUUUGAGAUUGGGACUGAUCAGAUUUUGUGUCCUGUGUUUACUUUGACCCAUAGCUGCCGUUGUAGAACUAAAGCUGCAAGCUUUCUG
Myotis myotis is the source of this 1046-nucleotide long non-coding RNA. RefSeq lists it as uncharacterized. The record is from RefSeq and is a predicted model, not a curated record. NCBI's taxonomy places the organism in Eukaryota, Metazoa, Chordata, Mammalia, Chiroptera, Vespertilionidae. The transcript has 2 exons.